CCUACGGGUGGCAGCAGUGGGGAAUAUUGGACAAUGGGCGAAAGCCUGAUCCAGCCAUGCCGCGUGUGUGAAGAAGGCCUUCGGGUUGUAAAGCACUUUCAGUGGGGAAGAAAGCCUUGGGGCUAAUACCCUCGAGGAAGGACAUCACCCACAGAAGAAGCACCGGCUAACUCCGUGCCAGCAGCCGCGGUAAUACGGAGGGUGCGAGCGUUAAUCGGAAUUACUGGGCGUAAAGCGCGCGUAGGCGGUCUGAUAAGCCGGUUGUGAAAGCCCCGGGCUCAACCUGGGAACGGCAUCCGGAACUGUCAGGCUUGAGUGCAGGAGAGGAAGGUAGAAUUCCCGGUGUAGCGGUGAAAUGCGUAGAGAUCGGGAGGAAUACCAGUGGCGAAGGCGGUCUUCUGGACUGACACUGACGCUGAGGUGCGAAAGCGUGGGUAGCAAACAGGAUUAGAUACCCUGGUAGUC
Molecule: ribosomal RNA, 465 nt
Filed under: Vreelandella stevensii
Lineage: Bacteria; Pseudomonadati; Pseudomonadota; Gammaproteobacteria; Oceanospirillales; Halomonadaceae
Description: partial 16S ribosomal RNA
Rfam family: Bacterial small subunit ribosomal RNA
Source: RNAcentral